UACGUAGGGGGCAAGCGUUGUCCGGAAUUAUUGGGCGUAAAGAGCGCGUAGGCGGCCAUGCAGGUCCGUUGUGAAAACUCGAGGCUCAACCUCGAGACGCCGAUGGAAACCGCAUGGCUAGAGUCCGGAAGAGGAGAGUGGAAUUCCUGGUGUAGCGGUGAAAUGCGCAGAUAUCAGGAGGAACACCGGUGGCGAAGGCGGUUCUCUGGGCAUGUCCUGACGCUGAGGAGCGAAAGUGUGGGGAGCGAACAGG
RNAcentral lists this ribosomal RNA (253 nucleotides) under uncultured bacterium. RNAcentral's name for it is "partial 16S ribosomal RNA". It matches the Rfam family "Bacterial small subunit ribosomal RNA", at positions 524 to 776 of the family's 1533-position model. The record is from RNAcentral.